AUGGAGGGAGAGGGUAUGGAGUUUCUACUCGACGCCGUUGACAGGUUCCCGGUGCGCGAGGAAUUUGCAGACAGCCUAGAGAACCCAGAUCCAGUUCAACUACUAUAUUUGCUGGAGAGCGGGACUGCAACUAAGGAUAUGGGUGAGGUCAAUGGCGUCACUGAGCAGACUCAGGUGGAGGACGUAGAAGCAGCAGCUGCAACCCAGCAAGGUGUCCAUGGUUUCCAAGCUGAAUCUCCCACGAGGUCUGCUCAAUCAACAGGCAGGGUGAAUCCACAGGCCCCCGGAUGGACGAAAAGGCUUCGGCUCGGAAGUGCACCACCUGACCGGGUGCCCUGCCCAUCGAGGAUGAGCGCAUUAGAAAUUUCAAUACGCAAGUAUGCAGAGCAACCUGAUAAGAGCGUCGUGAAACCAGAGCUGGGGCUUAGUUUUGAUUCGUUGGGUGAGGCGUAUGAUUUCUAUAACCUGUACUCAUGGGAAGUGGGUUUCGGGAUAAGAUAUGGAAAAAGCAGACUCAACGCCGAGAGGACAAAAACUAUGCAGGAAAUAGUGUGUGGUUGCUCGGGAAAACCGGAGACUGAAAACAGUCGAUCCUGUAGAUGUGAGUGCCCAGCUCUGAUCAGGCUCCUACGUGCUUCCGACAACAGCUGGUACAUCACAGAGCACCGGGCAAGUCAUAACCAUUCCAUGUCGCUGACAAUGGGAGAGAAAGUGCACUGGCCAUCUCAUAAGCACAUAGAUGUUUACACCAAAGACUUAAUAAAGCAACUGAGGGAAAACAAUGUAAAUCUUGGGAAAGUAUACAGCAUCAUUGGGAGCUUCUUUGGUUCUGUGGAAAAGGUCCCCUUCACGAAGAGGACGCUAAGGAAUAUCUGUGGCCAAAUUAGCUGUGAGCAAGCUGAAGACGACGUUAGGAAGACGCUUCAAGCGUUUGCUGACAUCCGAGCAAAUGACCCUGGGUUCUCCUAUGUGGUUUUGGCUGAGAAAGACAGCAAAGUUAAGAACCUGAUGUGGGCUACCGGCAGCAGCAGGAUGCAAUACAGAUUCUUUGGCGACGUUGUGACUUUUGACACUACCUACAGGACAAACUUAUAUGAUAUGCCGUUUGGGCUAUUUGUCGGAGUCAACAACCACUACCAGAGUAUUAUCUUUGCGGGGGUGCUGAUGCGUGACGAGCAGGAAGAAAGCUUUGAAUGGGUGUUUGAGGAAUUUGUACGUAUGAUGGGUGGACCUCCGCCAAAGACAAUACUUACAGACCAGUGCAGGGCGAUGGAGGUAGCAAUCAAGAAGAUAUAUCCUGACACGGUGCAUCGUUGGUGCAAAUGGCACGUUCUGAAGAAAGCGAAGGAGACACUAGGGCCCUUGUACACGAAGAAGAGUGAUUUUCAAGCUGAAUUCCACAAAGUUGUUAACCAUAUGCUGACGGAGGAGGAAUUUGAAACAGCGUGGGAGGCGCUGCUAGAUAAGUACAGCUUGAGGAGCCAUAGCUACAUGACCCAAAUAUAUGAGACUAGGCGGAAGUGGGAAAAACCUUAUUUCAGAGGAGUGUUCUGCGCAAAAAUGACAAGCACGCAAAGGAGUGAGAGUGCAAACCACAUGUUGAAGUCUUACAUGCCACCAGCAAGCCCAAUGCACGUGUUUGUCAGGCAAUACAUGAAGCUUCAGUUUGACCGCGAGCGCGACGAAAGCUACGAGGAAAAGAGGACAAUGAUAGGCGGUGCGGUGAGGCGGACUAAUCUCGCAAUAGAGCGACAUGCCAGCAAGGUGUACACCAGGAACAUGUUUGAGGAGUUCGGUCGUUUACUAAUGGAAGGAACUGCAUACAAUGUUACAGAGGUGGAAAGGAUGAGGAAAUACAGGACCACUCACAAUAAUGGAGCAAAAAGGGAAAAGUGGAGUAGGGUCGAGUACGAGGUGACCAUCAGCGAAGACAGGUCGAUAUUCAAUUGCGAGUGCGGGCAAUUUGAACACACAGGGAUGCUUUGCAGCCAUGUGUUGAGGGUUACGGAAAUUCUUCACCUUGAAGACAUUCCAAAACACCAUAUCCUAAAACGUUGGACCAGGGAUGCAAGGGAUAUACUCCCCGAUCACCUGGUGCAAUACCAAAAAGACAAUUCACAAAAUUUGUCAUUUACGUUUAGGCAUGCGACGCUGUACUUCAAAGCCAUGGAAGUUGUGAGGAUGGGGGACGCAAGCGCUGCAUGCUAUGAACACGUCAAUGCCAACCUGGAUUUGCUGCUUCAGAGUGCGGCGCCUCUAGCAGAGAAAAGGGAUGGCCUCGCUUUUGAGGACCGUGUGAUUUCAAAUGAAGAUGCCAGGCACUCUGCCAAUGGCGGCAACUCAUUAGCUAGUCUACAUGGUGAUCACUGCCAAAGUGCUACUAAUUCUGUCAGCACGAAUGCGUUACAGAGCCUCGCAGCACCGGAGAAAAGGAAGGGUCCAGGCAGGCCGACGAACAGCAGAGACAAGGCGCCAUAUGAAGGGCUUAGUAAGAGAACCCGGUUCUGCAGCCUGUGUCGGCGGGGAGGUCAUAAACGGACCACAUGCCCAGAUAGGGGUGAUGAGCCAAAGAAGCCGAGAAAACCAGGCAAAUGCAAAAACUGUGGUUUGGAAGGGCAUCGGCGUACUACAUGCAAAAGGCCGAUUGGGUUUGCUGAUAACUGA
RNAcentral lists this ribosomal RNA (2664 nucleotides) under Triticum aestivum (bread wheat). Its description in RNAcentral is "partial small subunit ribosomal RNA". Lineage: Eukaryota; Viridiplantae; Streptophyta; Magnoliopsida; Poales; Poaceae. The record is from RNAcentral.